GGCGCUUCCCAUCCAGGCUGAGCUGGAUCAUCUGAGGGCCUCCAGCCACCCGUUUUCCCUUGACCACUAGGGGCUCUGGCUGGGACUUUAGUUCCUCGUCCUCCAGCACUUGCACAGGGCCUCCCUUAACAAUGCUGCCUCCGAGGAAGAGCUGUCCUGUGAGGCGGGGUCUCUGUGGGUCAGAGAUGUCAUACUGCCUCAGGUCCCCAUGCAGCCAGUUGCUGAAGUAGAGGAAGCGGUCGUCCAGGGAGAGCAGGAUGUCGGUGAUCAGGCCUGGCAUUUCGGGCAGCAGCCAGCCCUUCACUUUCUUGGGGGGCACCUGGAUCACCUUC
Molecule: long non-coding RNA, 332 nt
Filed under: Homo sapiens (human)
Lineage: Eukaryota; Metazoa; Chordata; Mammalia; Primates; Hominidae
Description: LNC_000165
Source: RNAcentral